AGAAAAAGCAGCAAUCCUCCGUGCUUUAAGUGAAUCCAUCUUUUUAUACCGUACCGCUGUCCUCCAGCAGGAGGCAGAACAACCUCACACACCUGAUGUUUGUUUCCUCUCUCCGUGCCAGCGCGAUGACAAACGGGAUUUAGGGUGUAACCUCGCGAUACUUCCCACCUCUCUCUCUCCCCCUCUCGCUGGCUCGGCGGGAUGAUGGGAGUCCGGCCGGUUAGCCCGCAGAAACGCAGCUCAACACCCUCUGAGGGCAAAACUUCCACUUUUUCCUCCUCUAUGAAAUUCCCCAAAAACAAGAACAAUUAAUGAACGGCAACAGCUGGACACGAGAAGGGGACUUUUAUUUUGGAGGCGAGUUUUCUUCUUGUUAAUUAUCACACCUGAGAAGAAAUUAAAAAGAAAUCCCUGAGGUGAAGGCUUUUAAAAAGAGGGGGAUAAAGAAAGCUGGAGCAGCUCCCGGAGGAUAACAGCGGCUAAAGUUGUGGAGAUGCCGGAGGAGGAAGCGGAGCAGGCGGAGUGAUCAGUCCGGUGCGCACCCUCCUCUCCCCUGCUGCACGGAGCGCCACAGUCCGCUAACCUGCCACUGGUGGAGGGACUCUCCAACUCCUCAGGACCCUCAUCAUCACUCUUGGAUGUAAAACAACAAAUCUUCAUCUUAUUCUUCAUCCAAGAGAUUUUUAUCCAAACUCUUUUUUUCUUCUAAUUUGUUGGCUCCGUGCGGAGUUUUUGUCUCGUGGAUCCGCCGCUGUGCGCCUCCUCCCCGGAUGGGAUCUGGCAACAGUGAGCGGGGCGCGGCGGAGAAGUGAUGGAGUGAAAACGAGAUUUAAAAAAAACCCCACGAACCCGCAGUUUUUAACGCAGGAGUUUCA
Gymnodraco acuticeps is the source of this 875-nucleotide long non-coding RNA. RefSeq lists it as uncharacterized. NCBI's taxonomy places the organism in Eukaryota, Metazoa, Chordata, Actinopteri, Perciformes, Bathydraconidae. The transcript is spliced from 3 exons. The record is from RefSeq and is a predicted model, not a curated record.